ACAAUGCAAGCUUUGUUCUGAAAAAGAAUCUCAUAGAUUUUAUAGGCUCUAGAAGGAGAGUGACAUUCCAAUUUUCUCCCAAUUCUAUUGGAAGGUCAAUCUUAAAUGCUGUAUAGGAGGAUCUCAUUGAGAAGAUAUCAUUUGAGCAAAGAUGUAAAGCAAGGGAGGGAAUGAGUCAGUGGCUACAUAGCGAGAGUGUCCUAGGCAGAGGAAACAGCUUCUACAAAAGCCCUGAAGCAAGAGAAUGUUUGAAGUGUUCAAGAAUAAACAGGAGAUGCAGAAUGAAUGGAAUUGAGAGUGAGUGAGGCAGUCGGAUACAAGAGAGACUAAUAUGGGGCAGCACUGAAGACUGCUGACAGCAGCCACAUGAGUGAGCUCAGAGUGGACACAACAGCCCCUUCAGAGGCUGCAGGGAUGGCAGACAGCCUGACUGCAAUGUCGUGAAAGAUGCUGAGGCAGAACCAUGCAGCAAAGUCAUUCCCAGAUUCCUGACUCUCAGAAAAUGUCCCAGGCUUCCUGAUAUCAACAUCAUCCAAGGUGACUUUCUGGAAUAAAAGAGGAAUGUGAGAACAUCUGGUAGGGGAUGGCUCAAUAAAGAAAAAGUACAGGGAAUACCCAGCAGCCAAUCUGAAACUGCCAUUCAUAAAGAACUCAUCACAUAGGGAAAGGGCAUAUGGAGUUAUUAAGAAAAAGAACAGAAAGAGUGGGGAAGCUGCAAAAAUGAGUCCUCUGUGUUCAGCCACGUUCC
This 748-nucleotide long non-coding RNA is filed under the name Homo sapiens (human). RNAcentral's name for it is "HSALNT0314068". The record is from RNAcentral. Lineage: Eukaryota; Metazoa; Chordata; Mammalia; Primates; Hominidae.